GAUGAAGAACGCAGCGAAAUGCGAUAAGUAAUGUGAAUUGCAGAAUUCAGUGAAUCAUCGAAUCUUUGAACGCACCUUGCGCCCCUUGGUUAUUCCAAAGGGCAUGCCUGUUUGAGUAUCAUGAACACCUCAACUCUUGUGGUUUCCCACAAUGAGCUUGGACUGUGGAGGUUUUGUUGGCCCUGUGGUCAGCUCCUCUCAAAUGGAUCAGCUUACCGGUGUUUGGUGGCAUUACGGGUGUGAUAACUAUCUACGCGCGUGGUCGUCUCCAAAUAACCUCCAGUGAUGGAGGUUCGCUGGAGCUUAUAAAUGUCUCUCCCCAGUGAAGACAGCCUUUGAACGUUCCAUCUCAAAUCAGGUAGGACUACCCGCUGAACUUAAGCAUAUCAAUAAGCGGAGGA
This 401-nucleotide unclassified non-coding RNA is filed under the name soil metagenome. RNAcentral describes it as "partial contains 5.8S ribosomal RNA, internal transcribed spacer 2, and large subunit ribosomal RNA". The stretch from base 1 to 121 matches the Rfam family "5.8S ribosomal RNA", at positions 35 to 154 of the family's 154-position model. The record is from RNAcentral.